This 253-nucleotide ribosomal RNA is filed under the name uncultured bacterium. RNAcentral's name for it is "partial 16S ribosomal RNA". It matches the Rfam family "Bacterial small subunit ribosomal RNA", at positions 524 to 776 of the family's 1533-position model. The record is from RNAcentral.
UACGAAGGGGGCUAGCGUUGUUCGGAAUCACUGGGCGUAAAGCGCACGUAGGCGGCGCGUUAAGUUAGGGGUGAAAUCCUGGGGCUCAACCUCAGAACUGCCUUUGAUACUGGCGGUCUGGAGUGUGAGAGAGGUGAGUGGAAUUCCGAGUGUAGAGGUGAAAUUCGUAGAUAUUCGGAGGAACACCAGUGGCGAAGGCGACUCGCUGGCUUCUUGCUGACGCUGAGGUGCGAAAGCGUUGGGAGCAAUCAGG